RNAcentral lists this ribosomal RNA (464 nucleotides) under uncultured bacterium. RNAcentral describes it as "bacterial SSU rRNA". It matches the Rfam family "Bacterial small subunit ribosomal RNA", at positions 338 to 795 of the family's 1533-position model. The record is from RNAcentral.
CCUACGGGAGGCAGCGGUGGGGAAUAUUGCACAAUGGGCGCAAGCCUGAUGCAGCCAUGCCGCGUGUGUGAAGAAGGCCUUCGGGUUGUAAAGCACUUUCAGCGGGGAGGAAGGCGAUAAGGUUAAUAACCUUGUCGAUUGACGUUACCCGCAGAAGAAGCACCGGCUAACUCCGUGCCAGCAGCCGCGGUAAUACGGAGGGUGCAAGCGUUAAUCGGAAUUACUGGGCGUAAAGCGCACGCAGGCGGUCUGUCAAGUCGGAUGUGAAAUCCCCGGGCUCAACCUGGGAGCUGCAUUCGAAACUGGCAGGCUAGAGUCUUGUAGAGGGGGGUAGAAUUCCAGGUGUAGCGGUGAAGUGCGUAGAGAUCUGGAGGAAUACCGGUGGCGAAGGCGGCCCCCUGGACAAAGACUGACGCUCAGGUGCGAAAGCGUGGGAGCAAACAGGAUUAGAUACCCUGGUAGUC